This is a long non-coding RNA of Chlorocebus sabaeus (green monkey), 4689 nucleotides long. RefSeq lists it as uncharacterized. The record is from RefSeq and is a predicted model, not a curated record. NCBI's taxonomy places the organism in Eukaryota, Metazoa, Chordata, Mammalia, Primates, Cercopithecidae.
UGGGCAAGAGAGCGAGACCCUAUCUCAGAAAAUAAUAAUAAAUGUAUGCAUGUACAUGUGUAUUGGGGCAUUGUGCUAGAAAUUAAAUAAAGCUUGACUUCACGAAGAGAACCAUUCUAAGUUUACCUCAUUUUCUUUCUUUUCAUACUUUCUCUUUCUUCAUAACAUUUACAAAAUAAUUGCCAGCAAUUUGGUAAGUUCAUUAACUGAUUCUCUCUUAAGUCCAGGCUGCACAUCGCCCUGCUGAUUCAUGUGGAUUCAAUUUGUCCAACAGUUCUAUCAAUGAAGUCCUCAUUACCCUCUCCUCGUGUGUGCAGGGGAGGAAGGUUGUAAAUGCAGCCUGAGUGCGCCUUAUCUAACUUUUGUUCUUCUCAUGGAUCUAUAGAUUUCCUUUACGGUGCUUUUCUUGCCCAUCGUGUGGGAUCUGCCAAUAGGAUCGUUGCCUCAGCUGCAUUUAUAUUCCUGAGAAGUUUACUCCGUUUAUUUCCCCUGGUUCCGGGUUCUCGGAGUUCAUUUGUUGAGGUCAAGGACACCAUGUUCUCAGGAAAGAAAAUUUUAAAGAAUGUGGAAAGAAAGAAAGAAAAAAAAAAAGCAACAGCUGCACAUCACUGAUCGGGUAGAAAAAGAAUAUAAGGAUCUCAACAUACAUCCUGACAGUAACACAUGAAGAGUCCUGCCCGCCCCUCCCACCCCAUCUGCCUCUUUGUGACUGGAUUGGAAACGAGCUCCAUGUGUGCUGGGCAGGCAGGUUCCUGGCACCGGCAGCUGGUCACUUCUCUUUUCUGCGAUCUGCCCCUCCCGUGCUACCAGGUUCUAAGAGGGACUUAGGAACACAUUGCUAGUGCUGGCAUUGGCUUGUGUGAUGUUUUGGGUAGAGGACACGUGUGAUUGAAGGCCGGAGUCGUGGAGAGAAUCAUGGACUAGAAAUCAAAUCUGCUGGGGUCUGACCUUGAGGAAGUUGCUUCCCUCAAGGUCCUUAUUAGUGAUCUGAGGGUCAGUUCAUGGCUGCUAAGGACUUUCCCAUUCUGAAGCCGCUGUUUCUAAGUAAAAGCAGCGUCGCAGACUUGAGUUAGUGUGGUGUGAGAAUGCUGUUCAAGUCCAUUCCUUAGGUAUUUCUUGACCUCCUACUGUGUGACAGGCACUGGUGGAGGCUUAGCAAGGAGCUCUUUUGGCCCGUGACCCAGUCGCUAGGUGGUUUCUGUUGCCCUCCUCUUUUCUUCGGUAGGGUUCUGUGGGCUUGGGUCUCAUCAAAAACCGCCGCCCCCUCUGCAGUUGUUCUGAAUCUUGGCUGCAACUCCUGGAAGCUCAGGCUCUGGACCCACUUUCAGGCUUAGCAGCACUUUCCCCAGGUUCUGGCUCUCCAAGGUGAAAGCGCAGCCUCAGGGGAGGGCGCUGGCCCCGGUGCUCAAGGCUCCUCACAUCCUGGGCCUUCCAAGUCUGGCUCUGAGAGACCGCCUGCAGGAACGCAGGUGCAUUAGUAUGCAGGUGUGCUGAUACCCAGCACAAAGCAAUUAGCCUGCUGCUCUGCAAUUUCUGCCUUUCCCCAGCAAGUGUGGCUCAAGUGUUGGUUCCUUUGUCUGCAUGGCCAGCACCGUCCUCUCUCCUGCAGGGAGGCCUGGGGGCUCCGGGAGAUGCCUCUUCUAACUCUAGGAGUGGUCCGGAGCAUCUAGACCAGAGUUGUCCGAUAGAACUUUCUAGGAUGAUGGGAAUGUAAUCUGGUUGUUCUGUGCUAUCCCGCACGGUAGCCACCAGCCACAUGUGCACUUGCAGUGUGGCUAGCAGCUAAUGUAUUAGUUCAGAUUUGUAUGACUAUUUUCCAACCUUUUGCAAGGCACAGCAAGUGCCAAAAUUAAAGAUGAGGCAAAUGGUCAGCAGAUGAGGUGGCAGGAGCUCCAGCUGUCCCAGGGCUGAGGGGCUCAGUGUCUUCACACACCUGUGCCCAGCCCAGCAGGCUGAGUGGAAGUCCCUGUUCUAGACCUGAGCUGGGGCUGGUGGUGUGACCUGUCUCCACUGAGUUCUUGGCCCGGAGACCUGGGGUGGGUGGAGGGCGUGGAGAAGUGGGCGGUGUCCUGCUUGGUGUCCAGGGUGGUCCGGGGAGCCCGGGAGGCUGACUCAGUCUCAUCUCCUCCUGAGGGACUGGGCUCGGAGCUGAAUUCCUGAUGCCACACAAUUAUUUUCCAGUCUGACUCUCGUGUCCUUUAAAGUUGUGGCACACUGCACUUGGUUUUAAGAGCUAAAUGUAAGGCGAACGCGGAGCACUUUAAAUGUGAUAGCUCCAAGUUCACAUUGUUUGAGGAGAUAAGGAGAAAGGAGCAGGUGCUUUGAAUUCACUUAUCAGCAUUUUCGCAGGCUCCUGUCCCUCCGCACCCCCCACCGAGGUGCUGUGAUGUUCCACCAGGAUCUUGGAAUUGGAGGCUUCCCCAGGCUGCGGGGCCACCAUUUCAUCAGCUCACCUUGCUGGUAAGGCCAGGGCUUUGUUCCUGGGAGUGCUUGGGCCCCAGGUGUGUGUGUCUGGAAGGCUCCUGCCGGGCAGGGCAGGGAGAGCGGCCUGGCCUGGGAAGUCAGCCCCUGUGACGGGGCUCCUCGAGCCUCUGGAGCCCUGGGGAGAGUUUGCAUUUUAAGGUCACAUCUCCAUCCUCCAGGAGAAGGAUGAGAGGGGCCGGCUUUAAGUCCUAGUUCUCGGGUAUAUAAUUAAACAGAGAUUUUCCUUCCUGAAGGAACAAAAAGAGGCCAAGGACAGCCUAAUUGCAACCUCAAGAUUGCUUCUCCAAGAGUGGCCUGAGCAAGUGGGCUGAGGUAGAUUUGCAGCUCUGGCUGGUGUGGUGGCCUGAGCCAGCAGGGCCCAGGUUCGGCUGCUGACGGUGGUCCACAGGAGGGGAGGGUCUGUUGGGCAGGGGAGCCUCUGCCUUGCUUCCUUUCAGGGUGAGCCUUUGGUUUUCCUGUCCCAAAUGGGGGGGCCACGUGGGAGCCAGCAGCACACACUGGCCACCACUGACCGCUCCUGCUGUCCUGGCACUCCGCCCGCUCCCAAAGCAGCAGCCCAUAGUGACAGGUCGCGAGUGCCAUCAGAAGGGUGCACCGCUUUAUUUACGCGGCUGUCAGCCAGCCUGGCUCUUCCAAAGUCGCGCAUUACCAGACGAGUGAAGGUAAAACAGUGAUGCUUUAUUAAUUGCGGGUAUGGCUGCUAAUUAGAACCCAGGCCUGGGUUUUUAUACCUGUUUACAUACACUUGCUCCAGAGCGGAAGGACUUUCUCAUCUCUCCUUGCCUCUCCCCCACCCCCAGAAGAGAAUUUCAACUUUAAGACAAACAACUUCAUUUACAAGUGUGUCUCUAAUUAGCUGCAGAAUUAGGGAAGCUGAGCUUUCCCCCAUAGAUCCGCUCAAGCCUCCAGGGAGACUGGUGGAAUAGAGAGAAUCGCAUUUCCAAUUAUUUUGUUGAAUUGCUAAUUUAGUUAUUGUGCCUGGUGUAAUUGUGAUGGGUAUUGGGUGUGCAAUUCAAUUUGUUUUAAAUAUUUGUGGGAAGGCUGAUCAGUAAUGGAGCUGACCUAUUUUGUGGCCCAAAUUGAGAAAAAAAAGACUAAAACACAACAGCCACAAAGAUAGAGUUUGUUUCCAUUUUUAUUUUGAUCUCUCUCAUCCCUCUUAAGACCAUUGAUGCAACAAAAGGAUUAAAUUAAAAGAUGACAGCACUUUGAUCUUCUCCCUUUGAAAGCUUAACUGUCCUUGGUAGUUUAAUAUGCAGAUAUUUCAGGGUAGAGUUUAGAUGCAUUGCUGGAGUUGAGUAGUUUCUGCCUCCCAAAAUUGCAUUUCUGCAUGUGCCUAAAAGUGAUUUGGGGUACUCAACUUUCUAAUAGUGUGUAAAGUAGUGGAGGUGUAUCUGUAACAAAUAAAGCAAAGCCGUGAGAGCCACAAGUUCGCCACUCCUACUGGGCAGAAGUCCAUUGCAGAGUCCCGGAACCUUCCCUCCAGGCAGCACCAUGUGCAGAGGUUGGUGGCCAGGAACCCCACCCCUGGCAUUUGCAUAAAGCUCGCCCCUCGGGAGCCCUGCUCCUGGUUGGUUUGAGCCUGCGCAGGUGAGAGGAGGGCUAGGUGGUAAGUUCCCUCGUGGCUGGCGGUGACUCUGGAAUUCCUGGAGGGCCAAGCUCCAGCGUCUCUCUUCAGCCAGAGUCUGGACCGGGAGGGGCCUCCGUUGAGCAUGCGUUUCACUUGGAAAUCCAGAACAAGAGCGAGUUGGUCGCCGUGUGAACAGUAAGAACGCACCAUGGCAUCAGGCUGUGGGAACAUGAGAGCAUGCCAAACCAAAGAGCGUCUGAGUACCCACUGUGCUCCGGAGUCAGCCCCCUUUCCACCAAGCUUUCAGCCUCCCGAAGAUAGACACAAGAAUUGGAAAAACACAACUCAGAUACUGUGAUCACCUCUGCCAGAAAAGCAGCUUAACCCGAGGGGAAGGAUCCAGGAGAGGACCUCAGGUCACAGCACUCAAGAGGCCAGGCUAGCAAGGCCAUCCCGCUCCACAGCCACUCUCCCUGCUCCUGGCCUUGUGAGGCAGUAGAAGAAUAUCAGAGAGAGACAAAAAGGCCUGGGAGGGCUGCGGCUCCAUUUCCAGAGAAGAAAUUUAAUUUCCUUAAGGCAACCAAAUGGUAGGAAGUAAUUCUUGAAAUGACUCUACCAAGCCCUGGUUCUGCGAA